Molecule: non-coding RNA, 1443 nt
Organism: Peromyscus maniculatus bairdii (prairie deer mouse)
Lineage: Eukaryota; Metazoa; Chordata; Mammalia; Rodentia; Cricetidae
Source: RefSeq, a predicted model, not a curated record
ACCUGAUACUCCUACAGAGUCCUCAGAAUGAAAAGGCUGCUCUCUGAACAAUGAAACUCACAGGGAGAAGAGGAAUUUAAUCCUAACACUUCAGCCUUGCAAGCUGCUCAGGGCACGGACCCAGGAGAGUCGGCGCAUGUGUGAGUGCAGACAGGCUCUCGUCUUGCGCAGCGGAGACUGGCAGUCAUCUAUGGAAUGACCGUGUGCAUGGGAUUUUAAUACAUCUGAGAAGAAUUCAGGAGGUAAAAUUAAACAUCCCACUUAAAGCAACUGGUUCAAAUAGUGGAAUUUGUUAAACCACACAAAACAGGAUGAAAAAUACUCAUGUCGGUCUGAAUUUUGACUCCUUGUGUGGCUCUGAUGGCCUUCUUCAAUGAUGCGUCAUUCUCCAUCCUGUGUUCUCCAGGAGCUGUUUGGUUCUCUUGCUAACCGCCUCCGCUACAUCCCAGCAUGUGAGAUCCUAUAUCCCUGGUGCAUCUUGAGUCCUAGAGAGUGAGUGUGAGGAUUGUGUCCAGGCCUCUGCCUUCAAGACACCUGUAACUGAUACAAAAACCGGAUUAGAGCACCAUGAACCACAUAGUGUAAUUAGAAAUAAAGAGAAAGCUGUAAACAAUAACAUAGAAAAAUUCAAAGGAGAAACUGACAGAACCCUUUGAUGUGAGUUUCUGCAAUAACCCUGAAUCCAUUCCACAAAGACACUUCUUUGAUGAGGUUUAAGAAAUGCGAUAAUCUAUGGAACAGAGACAGGAUGCCCGCCGGUACCCGGGCUGCUCAGGACUCCUAGAUCAUCUCUUUCGGCCUCUCUAGUUUUCUACUACAGACUUAAACCAGCACACCCUGGUCUACUUUCAGGAUGUAGCUCUGUGUGGAGCUGGCUAGCCUUCUCAACGUUAUUAAGUGGACUGUUCUGUUGCUGGAGAGCUUCUCUCCAGGUCCCACCAAGCCCCUGGGAAGUUAGUCACUGGACGAAGCUCUCUGAGGACAACUGGGGUAGUUACCAAUCUGAUUAGAGAAGAUGGCCAGUACGGGCUACUUACCCACUAUCGCCAGGAGUCUUAGCUGGGUCUCCUUGUAGAUUUCUGGGACUUCCCCUUGCACCAGAUUUGUCCCUGACCUCCAAAUGCCCCUCCCCCACCCCCAUAGGAGCUCACAGACUCUGGACUGUGAGGAGAGCUCACAGGCUAGGGAGCCUGCAUGGGAUGGACCUAGGCCCUCUGCAUGUGUGUGACAGUUGUGUAGCUUGACCUGCUUGUGGGACUGCUAGUGAUGGGAGCAGGGCCUGUCCCUAACUAAUGCUUUGGCUGACUUCCAGGAACCUACUCCUCAUACUGGGUUGUCUUGCCCAGCCUUCAUACAAGGGGAGGAGCUUAGUCCUACCUCAACCUGUUAUAACAACCAGGCUUUGUUGAUACCGAUGAGAGGCCUGCCUCUUUCUGAACAGAA